UAUUAGGAAAGUGGACAUUGUGCAGGAC
RNAcentral lists this non-coding RNA (28 nucleotides) under Mus musculus (house mouse). The record is from RNAcentral. Lineage: Eukaryota; Metazoa; Chordata; Mammalia; Rodentia; Muridae.